This 59-nucleotide transfer RNA is filed under the name Procyon lotor (raccoon). RNAcentral's name for it is "tRNA-Ser (AGY)". The record is from RNAcentral. Lineage: Eukaryota; Metazoa; Chordata; Mammalia; Carnivora; Procyonidae.
GAAAAAGUAUGCAAGAACUGCUAAUUCAUGCCCCCAUGUGUAAAAACAUGGCUUUUUCA